CUGGAAGGUAUUUGAAAGUAGAAGAUUUAUCUAUGGUACUUUUAUUUAAUGGAGUGCAAAUAGUUGAUACGAUUACAUUUAAGUGUAUAGCAACCAAAGAGUCCGAUCUUAAUACCGCUUAUUGGGACCACGAAACUGAAGAAAUGGGUAUAUUUGCAAUAGCUGAUGUUUCAUGCAUGAGCAAUAAAGAUAUGUCACACGAACUUUCUUGUGAUUUAAGUUGCGAACAACUAAGAGAUGAUGAUAUUGAAGACGAUGUAGUUUGUGCUAUUAAACUAUUCAAUCUUUAUAAAAAAAUGACUGGAGACGGUUUCACCUACUGGCCUGUUUAUGUAGAAGGUUACUGUAGAAGCGAAACUGAUUACUAUAUAUAAAACACUAGCAUAAACAUCGUUAGAUAAAAUAGUGUUUUGCAUGUCACCACUGAACCACCUAAGUUGGUGGUAGAUCUCCUCUUUCUGUUUAUCUGUACAACUCCGUAACUCAAGGAUGUUAUCUUCAUAGCGAUGGUCAUAUGUUUUUCGCUCAGAUUACUGAUGUGAUCGUAACA
RNA transcript from Nicrophorus vespilloides, 550 nucleotides. It is a transcript of the gene named lysozyme C I-like, with no coding region annotated. The record is from RefSeq and is a predicted model, not a curated record. The transcript has 3 exons. NCBI's taxonomy places the organism in Eukaryota, Metazoa, Arthropoda, Insecta, Coleoptera, Silphidae.